GAAGAAUCUUUCAGCACAGAUGAUGAAGAGGGGUCUCAAAAUGGUCUGGCUGUAGAGGACUCAAUUUACUAUGGCAACUUUGAGGCAGUGUAUGAUGUUGCAGAUGAAUCUUCCAGCACGGACAACAAAGAGGGGUCUCAAAAUGGUCUGGCUGUAGAGGACUCAACUUUCUAUGGCAACUUUGAGGCAGUGUAUGAUGUUGCAGAUGAUGAACCUUCAAGACCCAGAGUGGCACCUUUGUACACCACGUCCUUCAAAGCAAAAAGACUCAAGAUCUCACCUGUCUGCUAAAUGCACAGAAUAAUGCGAACACCUGCCCAUGUUGGACCCCUGUUUAGUACAGUUCAUGUCUAUUUCAUAG
This is a long non-coding RNA of Thunnus maccoyii (southern bluefin tuna), 361 nucleotides long. RefSeq lists it as uncharacterized. The record is from RefSeq and is a predicted model, not a curated record. The transcript has 5 exons. NCBI's taxonomy places the organism in Eukaryota, Metazoa, Chordata, Actinopteri, Scombriformes, Scombridae.